RNAcentral lists this ribosomal RNA (497 nucleotides) under uncultured bacterium. Its description in RNAcentral is "partial 16S ribosomal RNA". It matches the Rfam family "Bacterial small subunit ribosomal RNA", at positions 28 to 507 of the family's 1533-position model. The record is from RNAcentral.
GAUGAACGCUGGCGGCGUGCCUAAUACAUGCAAGUCGAGCGAACGGACGAGAAGCUUGCUUCUCUGAUGUUAGCGGCGGACGGGUGAGUAACACGUGGAUAACCUACCUAUAAGACUGGGAUAACUUCGGGAAACCGGAGCUAAUACCGGAUAAUAUUUUGAACCGCAUGGUACAAAAGUAAAAGACGGUCUUGCUGUCACUUAUAGAUGGAUCCGCGCUGCAUUAGCUAGUUGGUAAGGUAACGGCUUACCAAGGCAACGAUGCAUAGCCGACCUGAGAGGGUGAUCGGCCACACUGGAACUGAGACACGGUCCAGACUCCUACGGGAGGCAGCAGUAGGGAAUCUUCCGCAAUGGGCGAAAGCCUGACGGAGCAACGCCGCGUGAGUGAUGAAGGUCUUCGGAUCGUAAAACUCUGUUAUUAGGGAAGAACAUAUGUGUAAGUAACUGUGCACAUCUUGACGGUACCUAAUCAGAAAGCCACGGCUAACUACGUG